Tupaia belangeri chinensis (Chinese tree shrew) is the source of this 2846-nucleotide long non-coding RNA. RefSeq lists it as uncharacterized. The transcript has 4 exons. The record is from RefSeq and is a predicted model, not a curated record. NCBI's taxonomy places the organism in Eukaryota, Metazoa, Chordata, Mammalia, Scandentia, Tupaiidae.
ACUGACAUCCAGAGGAUGGGAUUAUUAACUCAGUGGGAAGUAACGUUUGCUCUGGGACAAUUUUUAAUGUGGGUCUUGAGGAUUAUGUAGGAGUUCCCUAGAGAAAUCUGAAAUUUCAUUAGAGUCAGAGAAACAGUAGACGAAAAAGCCAACAUGCACGAAUAAAAGAAAGACAAGAAAACAUGACAUUUAAGGACAGCAUGGCAUGACAAUGACUUCUAGAAACUUAUUGGGAAAAAAACGAGACCCAUGUUGACCAGUCACAGAAUAGUGACCUUAGGAAUAAACACGUCAACAGAAAUUGGAACCAAGGUCAAUGACUGCAUCUGUGUAAGAGCAAACUUUAUUUCUGGCAAGGAAGGAACCAGAGUGCGUGUUUGUGGGCCAGAGGGAUAGCACAAGAACGGGUUCUACCCACUGAAAAAUAUUUAUUUUAAAACAUUUAUUUUCUAGGCAGUAUCCCUGUGAAUGCACGUCAUCGCAAAAACUCUGGCCUUUUCUGGAAUAGUAUUCGUUCUAGUUUUGAAUAAAUUAGAAGUGAGAUAAACAUAGGCCUGUGACAUCAACAAGUUUAUAAGAUAAGAGCCAUAUUUGUGUGGCGCACGUUGUGCUGAGCAUUUUAACAUCAUCGCUUUAGGGGUCAGAGAGUGGCGUGGUGGUUAAGGCAUGGACUCCCCCAUGUCUGACCAUGUCACACCUCCAAGUCCUUCUUAUAAGCAUCCUGUUGCUGUCAUUUUAUGGUUCACUUGGAUAAUCCAGGGUCAUCUCUUCAUUUCAAGAUCCCUAACUUAAUCACAUCUGUGAAACCUCAUCAGUCAGAACACAUGAAACUCAAGGAAUGACUUUUAUGCCUGCCUACCUACCUCUCACUGCUCAUCUGAUACUGAAGUGCUGGCUUUAAUAAGUUUCCACUUCAGUUUAAAAUAGAUAAUUUAAGAAAUCCAGAAAGCCAAGGCUGCCAAAGCUCACUGUUUCCUAGAACCAGAUUGCUAUUUUAUGUCUCCCAUUGUGAGAAAACGCAGGCCUGGAGGACCUGCCCCCACCCCUUCCUCCCAGUCAACCUUUCAGUCUGUGAUCCAGGCCCCUCGCUGAGGAAGUGCUCCGUGUUGAAGGCUAUCAGCCAAUUUCUCUUCUUACUUUGGUGUUUGUUUUUUUGUUUAAAUUGUAUUGCUUUCACAUCUGGAUGGUGCAGCUUUCAUGUGGUAUUAGAAGUAUGUGUCCAAAAAUGCAUCCCAGCUGAACAUCCUGUUUGCCUUUUGAUUUAAAUUUCUGUUUAGUAAACCUCUGGGGUUUGGAUAUAGUAAGGAGUAUUCUCGGCACAAUUCCCUACCCACUUCCUCAAAAAUAACUCCCUUAUCCAUUCCUUCCUUUCUUGCCUCUCCUCUGCUAAAUUAAUACUGUCUAUCAGACACAUUCCUAUGGAUACCCAAGAAUAGUUCCUCUUCCCACAAUGACAAAAUCUGUGUCUUAGGCAUUACCUUUCCACCAGCUCUGGCCACAGAAAUGCUGCUUUACACACGAUGCUACCAACACGUUGAGAAUGUUCCCAUCAGCCCCUAGGUGGAAAAAUAACCAAUUUUUGAAUUAUGAGAUACUUGCUUGAGAAACAUAAACAAUGAUUUUUACAAAAAUAGGUUAGCAACUGUAUUUUUCUGGUCAAAACCAGAGAAGAAAUAUGGUUAAAGUAUUUUUAAAAAGUCUUUCCUGCACAUUGGUCAUAGAAAUCCUAUCUCAGAUGAAUAAAUUUACUUGACAUAUUAUUGUGCAAAAUUAUUUUUUAAAAUAACUAUUGUUCAAGCCAACUUUUUUUUUUUUAAGUAAAGAAAUUUGGUUGUUCUUGGCAUUUCUUAAUUUACUUACUUGGGGGUAUGUUCUCCCCAAAUCCACACAUAUAAUUUCUAUUGCCUUUAAAAGGGGCCAUGAGCACACAUCUGAAGGAGAAUUGACCACUUGGUUUUUUGAUGUUUUAAAGCCAACUAAAGCAUGAACCUCCUGCUUCCUUUCUGAUCCUGGCCCUUUUCAAUGAGAACAAUGCUUAUGCAAGAUUUCCUAGGGGGAUUUUGUGGUUUGAGGUUUUAAUAAUCUAGGCUAAAAUUCAAAUAGGAACCACAGCUGCUUGGAUAAGACUCUUAGCUCUCUUUAUUGGAAUGGCAGUGAACUUACCAGAACUUUAAAAUAUUCUGAGUAAUAGCUGAUAUCCAAGAAGGACUUGUAGUAGAUAAAUUUCCCAAGAAAGAAUAUCUAUCCACCUGCACGCAGUAUGAAAAUAAAAUGAUAAGUAAUUCUUUAAAAAUAUUUUAAAAUAUGCUUAAAGUAGAUUUGUCUCCUUUAAAAGAAAUGAAAAAAUACGUGAAUAUGACUGUUUUGAUUCAGGGAAAGGAACCUAUUAACACUUUAAAAACAAGAUCUUUAGAAUUGUUGAUGUAGAACCUGUUUAUUUUCUUUACAGCAUUACUUUCUUUGUGCCUUUGCUACAUUACUCUGUUGUGAUAGUGCUUUUUAAAAUUGAUUUUCAUAUACUUCUAAUAUAGUAUUGUGCUUAAGAUGUAAGUUCUAUCAAAGAGUCUGUAAAGUUCUGAAAGGCCGAAAUAUGUUAAAAGACAGCCUUCAGGUAUAUUAAAUAAGACCCCAACAUUCAAAAUGAAAGGUAAAAAUUGGGUUGUCAUUUAUUUAAACUUUUGAUAAUCAGUAAAUGAUCACUUGUUAAGGGAUUUGCAAGGAGUUUGUAAGGAGGGAAUAUAACAUGACAGAAAAACUAUAAAUAAUCUAGCAUUAACUUUAAAUAGAGGGCCUACUCAGAAAUACCUUUUUUUACUUCUUUAAUUUUUAAAUUUAUCAUUAUUAUU